GGAUUUAGUUCAGCUGGGAGAGCGCAUCGCUGGCAGCGAUGAGGUCAGGGGUUAGAUCCCCCUAAGGUCCA
This 71-nucleotide transfer RNA is filed under the name Paenibacillus sp. 32O-W. It matches the Rfam family "tRNA". From Rfam's summary of the family: Transfer RNA (tRNA) molecules are approximately 80 nucleotides in length. Their secondary structure includes four short double-helical elements and three loops (D, anti-codon, and T loops). Lineage: Bacteria; Bacillati; Bacillota; Bacilli; Caryophanales; Paenibacillaceae. The record is from Rfam by way of RNAcentral.